CAGCUGCUCAAAAUGUGGAAUCCUCUGAGUUUAAAUAAUGAACAAUAAGUGUGCUGUAACAAAGGAAGGGAGGCAACUACCUCACCAGCCUCUCAGGGAUGAGGAGGAUUACAUUCAAGAUGAUUCCCCAGGUACUCUGGGACAGAAGCAUCCUAAACGGCUGUUGGGGCAGUAUUAUACCACGAAAAGGAGAGAGCCGAGAGACCAGUAGCAUAUGCAAGUAAAAAAUUGAAUGCAGCAGAAUGAAGUUACAGGCUAGGGGUAUCCAACAAAGUCACUGAUUUUUGGUCCCAAUGCAGCGAAGUUGCAACAAAUCUGAGAGAUGAACAAAGCCGAGAAGAUGACAAACCACACCAUAGAGACGCAAACUCCUCGACACCACAAGGCAACUUAAUUGGGAGGAUAUGUGGCAGAGAGAGAGAGACUGCCAUGCAGCAGGAAUUAUAGGAAACACUGAGGCAGCAAGCAGUCUGGCUGCCAGCAGUGGAAGAAGGGAAGGAAAGGGAACAUCUGACCCCAGCAAGGGCACGCCUUGUAAAUACAU
Molecule: long non-coding RNA, 544 nt
Organism: Alligator sinensis (Chinese alligator)
Lineage: Eukaryota; Metazoa; Chordata; Crocodylia; Alligatoridae
Exons: 3
Source: RefSeq, a predicted model, not a curated record